GGAUGGUGGUGCAUUCGUGGUUGGGUUGGGGUUAGAUGAGUAAAGGUGAACAUAAAAAUCAACAAAACCUGUAACAAAUCAUAGAUCCCUUAAUCUUGACAAUUGAUCGUUUUUUCUUAUUGAUCCCUUAAUGAGAAACAAGUUUGCUAGAAGAAUCAAAACAGUGUGAAACAAAGGAUCACAAUAUAAAUACUUAUGUGAUGAGAUACUAUAUAUCAAAUAAUUAAGAAAAAAUGGCAUAAUAUGUAACUUUUGAUGAGUACGAAACUGUACUAAGAUACCAUAACAACCACUCAAUGCAACAUACAUGACAGCAAUGGAGAUGAUGUUGGACUUUGGAAGACUUAGUUGAGUGAAGGAUAAACCAUUUGAGAAAAAACAAAAAGGUGGAUGUGACUCUUUUGAACGAACAAAGAUCAUCUCCUAGUUUUUGUUUUUUCUUUUUAUUUUCAAUGACAAAAGUGUUAUCCAAUAUAUAUGAAAGGAUAAAAGUAUCGUACCAUAUUAAUCCUUUGUUUAAUACUUCUUUAAUCCUUUUGAACAUGAAGAGGACACCAAAGCCAUGUGACAUGUCUCUCUGAUCAAUCAAGGAUGGUAAACAAAUCAUCAUGUCCUUCCAUUAAUUAGAGAGUGGCCUCCUUUGUCGUCUUCUUAGUUUUUGGCCAUGCAAACUUUUCACCUUUCAUGCAAUGCUUUUCCUUCAUCAAUGGCAAAGUGAGAGAUGUACAUUUGUCCAUCUUAAUCUUAUUUUUAUCAUUACUAGCUUCAUGCUCUAGUGUCCCAUGCAUUUUUCAUCUCCAAAGUUUCAAAAUUCCUUGCCCUUAUUACACUUUUUUGUUGUUGUUUUGGUGUGAAAUCACAAAUAUUGUUCACGAUAGACAAUUCUGAUUAAGUCGGAUAAUACUUCUACCAAUGAUAAUACUCUUUGGAUAAUCAACUCAACUACGUUGUCAAGACUUAACUCAAGACUGAUGGUUAACCAAUUAAACCUUAGUAGUCGAUCCACACGCUCCGUGGUGUUACAUUCAUACUCUAUGGUUACUUUUCUUGUUGGAAAGCAAACUAGUUUGGAAGCAAUAUUUUG
This 1084-nucleotide long non-coding RNA is filed under the name Lupinus angustifolius (narrow-leaved blue lupine). Its description in RNAcentral is "long non-coding RNA (LANG_LNC002401)". The record is from RNAcentral. Lineage: Eukaryota; Viridiplantae; Streptophyta; Magnoliopsida; Fabales; Fabaceae.